This 554-nucleotide ribosomal RNA is filed under the name uncultured bacterium. Its description in RNAcentral is "bacterial SSU rRNA". It matches the Rfam family "Bacterial small subunit ribosomal RNA", at positions 355 to 897 of the family's 1533-position model. The record is from RNAcentral.
UCAAGAGGCUUCGGCAAUGGGGGAAACCCUGACCGAGCGACGCCGCGUGGGUGAUGAAGAUUCUCGGAUCGUAAAACCCUGUCAGGUGGGAUGAAAAAUCAUUCGGCUAAUACCCGAGUGACAUGACAGUACCACCAGAGGAAGCUCCGGCUAACUCCGUGCCAGCAGCCGCGGUAACACGGGGGGAGCAAGCGUUGUUCGGAUUCAUUGGGCGUAAAGAGCUCGUAGGCGGCUCUGUAAGUCGGGGGUGAAAGACCACAGCUCAACUGUGGAAACGCCUUCGAAACUGCGGAGCUUGAGGCCGGGAGAGGAAAGUGGAAUUCCUGGUGUAGCGGUGAAAUGCGUAGAUAUCAGGAGGAACACCAGUGGCGAAGGCGGCUUUCUGGACCGGUUCUGACGCUGAGGAGCGAAAGCUAGGGGAGCAAACAGGAUUAGAUACCCUGGUAGUCCUAGCUGUAAACGAUGGGCACUAGGUGUGGGGGGAUCGACCCCUUCCGUGCCGCGAGUUAACGCUAUUAAGUGCCCCGCCUGGGGGAGUACGACCGCAAGGUUGA